Molecule: ribosomal RNA, 253 nt
Filed under: uncultured bacterium
Lineage: Bacteria
Description: partial 16S ribosomal RNA
Rfam family: Bacterial small subunit ribosomal RNA
Source: RNAcentral
UACAGAGGUCUCAAGCGUUGUUCGGAUUCAUUGGGCGUAAAGGGCGCGUAGGCGGUCAGCACAAGUCAGUUGUGAAAUCUCCGGGCUUAACUCGGAAAGGUCAACUGAUACUGUGCGACUAGAGUGCGGAAGGGGCAACUGGAAUUCUCGGUGUAGCGGUGAAAUGCGUAGAUAUCGAGAGGAACACCUGCGGCGAAGGCGGGUUGCUGGGCCGACACUGACGCUGAUGCGCGAAAGCCAGGGAGCGAACGGG